UCUUAGCGCAAAGAGUUGCUCCCAGAAAAUUCUUAGAAAUAUGGGCGUUUCCCCUUAAAGAAAAGAUCCUAAUAAUGAAAAAAGUAUUUUAUGAAGCAUAUAGACUGGAAAUCCGGUUGUUUUGUUAAAAGACCGACAGCGGUGAACAAGAGAAUUGAAAUAUGUGAAAUAUAAAGCGUUUUUUUUUUAUUAGAAACAUGAACAUCCAUUGUUAAACACCCAAAAAAACAUAAUAAAAGUCUCAAAAACUUGUGUGAACUCUGUGAACGGGAGCCUGUGUGAAUGACCAAGUGAGCAAGCUAGACAUAAACCUUUCAAUACUGGCUAUUUAACAGAAUGAUAUCUGGUCUAUUUAACCAAACAUAUGCUAUCUCUCCAGCAAAUCACAGUGUAAAGCAGUGUCGUAUACCCUGAGAACUCCUCUCGUCCUCUCGAGUGCACUAGCGGGAUCUCGGAGUGUAUGUGGUGCAAUAACAUGAGGCAAUGCGUGGACUCAAACGCCUAUGUGGCGUCUUUCCCCUACGGCCAGUGCAUGGAGUGGCACACCAUGAACAGCUGUCCAUGUACGUCCAUCUCUCAUUGUGUGCCUCUGAUGUUUAUCACUUUAUAAAUUAGCAUGUCUUCUGUUUACUGUCUUGUAAUUCACUGAGACCAUCAUUUCACACUCUUUUCCCAACUGACAUAUAAUCAAUUUAAAAGAAAAUAAUAAACAGAGCUGUAGAACACCAGGGCCCUCUCCACCGUGGCGUACCGAGUUUCUGCUGGGGUAAGCUUACGGCUAAUGUACACCACGGGAUGUUCCGUUCCGUUUCUGUUCUGGGACAGUAUGGCCCCCAGUCCAGUGUCUGAUGCGUCUGUCUGGAGGGUGAAAGGGCAGCCAAAGUCUGGAGUGUGUAGGACCGGGGAUUAUGUCAGUGCUUCCUUCAGGGUCUGGAAUGCUCGUUCAGUCUCAGGGUUCCACUUUACGUUUACGUCACACCCGCGUUGGUUCAUUGUGUAUGUUUGUUCACCCUAUUGCCUUGUCCGUGUCUUCUGAAAAAGACUGUGUUCUUGAAUUAUUUUUGGAUUUUCACCUAGUUUGCUUUGUCCCCCUUGUGGGAAGUUUUUCUUUGUUUGUGUAUUUAAAUUCUCUGUUUUGCCCCAUUGUGGGUUUUUGUUUUAUUAAUGAAAGUCUCUUUGUUACCCCAUGUCUGCCUGCGCUUGGGUUCUGUCCUAUUUCAUGACAUAGAUUACCAGUUUACCUUCAGUCUGUCUCAGGAGGAGGACAGCUACUACACCGCCAUCAACUUUGUGUCGACUCCUGAUGAGGUGUGGUCAUGCUGAAUUUUCUAUACUCUUACAGGGGUCUGAGUCUGGGGAACACUAAACAUGUUUUCCUUGCAAGAAGAUAAAUCAAGACUUGGUCAUGUUCAUCUAAACCCAUUAAUCUGAACAUCACAUGGGCAACCAGCUUUGUGGAUUGCUUUCACACAGCCAAGAAUCCUCAUGGGUCUGAUUUAAUCAGAUGAUGGUCAGGUGAUCAUCGCUGUAUCCUGUCCUUGAUUCUGGUGGUGGCAAUCGUGGAGAAGAUAAAAAAGAGCUGCAGGUACUGUGCAUGGAAAAGAGAAUCAGUGCUGAAGCAUCUUACCUUUAGCUAGCAAUCCAUUAUGAUUAUAAAUCCUCAUCAUAUCAAACCAUCAGUAUCUUAAAGUUGCCAAUCAAGAUGGAUUAUAUCAUUUUAAUUCCAAGUCGUAAUUUACAGACUAAAUGGAUAGAUUUGAAACGUUAUGCAAAAACUAAUGUGGAAAAUAAAACUACUGUACAAUUCAAACAAGUCAAAAACAUUACACAAUCUAAUUUUUUAAAGAUCUAACAAGAUACAUGGUUCAGCUGAACCUUCUGUAUGUGAAUUAAUAAAAGUUGAAUAGAUCUAUCAAACAGUAAAAGCACAAGAUAUAAAAAAAACAUUAAGGGGCAGUUUCCCGGACAGGUAUUAUUUUAGAUUAGGACUAGUCUUUAGUUAAAUUAGUAUAAAAAGUUGUUUUUAAAAACAUACUUUACAAAAAACCUCACUGGUGUGCAUUUUACGACAAAACAAUGACACUCAUAUAAUUAGUUAGUUAGUCUGGGACUAGGCUUAAAUCCUGUCCGGGAAACAUUUGAUAUGUUGUCGCAGGUCACAUGUUGGUAACCUGCAGUGCAGUUUGAGUCGAAAGUGAUCCUAAAAUUGUUUUUUAUUCAAUGUAUGUCAUUGUUUUAUUGUGUGUGUACUUUCUAUUCUAUUGUGUAAUAGUUUUGACAAACUGUACUGUGUGUGACCCCCUGUGUAAAAUGUGUGCUCUCUUAAUAAAGAUGAGAAUUAACUGAGCAGUA
Long non-coding RNA from Triplophysa dalaica, 2352 nucleotides. RefSeq lists it as uncharacterized. Lineage: Eukaryota; Metazoa; Chordata; Actinopteri; Cypriniformes; Nemacheilidae. The transcript has 4 exons. The record is from RefSeq and is a predicted model, not a curated record.